GCUAAUACCGGAUAACAACAGAUGAUGCCUAUCAACUGUUUAAAAGAAUGGUUCUGCUAUCACUCUUGGAUGGACCUGCGGUGCAUUAGCUAGUUGGUAGGGUAACGGCCUACCAAGGCGAUGAUGCAUAGCCGAGUUGAGAGACUGAUCGGCCGCAUUGGGACUGAGACACGGCCCAAACUCCUACGGGAGGCAGCAGGG
This 201-nucleotide ribosomal RNA is filed under the name uncultured Lactobacillus sp. RNAcentral describes it as "partial 16S ribosomal RNA". It matches the Rfam family "Bacterial small subunit ribosomal RNA", at positions 162 to 354 of the family's 1533-position model. The record is from RNAcentral. Lineage: Bacteria; Bacillati; Bacillota; Bacilli; Lactobacillales; Lactobacillaceae.